AACGAACGCUGGCGGCAGGCUUAACACAUGCAAGUCGAGCGCCCCGCCAGGGGAGCGGCAGACGGGUGAGUAACGCGUGGGAACGUACCUUUUGGUUCGGAACAACUCCGGGAAACUGGAGCUAAUACCGGAUAAGCCCUAACGGGGAAAGAUUUAUCGCCGAAAGAUCGGCCCGCGUCUGAUUAGCUAGUUGGUGAGGUAACGGCUCACCAAGGCGACGAUCAGUAGCUGGGCUGAGAGGAUGAUCAGCCACACUGGGACUGAGACACGGCCCAGACUCCUACGGGAGGCAGCAGUGGGGAAUAUUGGACAAUGGGCGCAAGCCUGAUCCAGCCAUGCCGCGUGAGUGAUGAAGGCCUUAGGGUUGUAAAGCUCUUUUGUCCGGGAAGAUAAUGACUGUACCGGAAGAAUAAGCCCCGGCUAACUUCGUG
This 431-nucleotide ribosomal RNA is filed under the name uncultured bacterium. RNAcentral describes it as "partial 16S ribosomal RNA". It matches the Rfam family "Bacterial small subunit ribosomal RNA", at positions 29 to 507 of the family's 1533-position model. The record is from RNAcentral.